Molecule: ribosomal RNA, 942 nt
Filed under: uncultured bacterium
Lineage: Bacteria
Description: bacterial SSU rRNA
Rfam family: Bacterial small subunit ribosomal RNA
Source: RNAcentral
ACGAAUUCGCCCUUAGAGUUUGAUCCUGGCUCAGGAUGAACGCUAGCUACAGGCUUAACACAUGCAAGUCGAGGGGAAACGACAUCGAAAGCUUGCUUUUGAUGGGCGUCGACCGGCGCACGGGUGAGUAACGCGUAUCCAACCUGCCCAUCACUUGGGGAUAACCUUGCGAAAGUAAGACUAAUACCCAAUGAUAUCUCUAGAAGACAUCUGAAAGAGAUUAAAGAUUUAUCGGUGAUGGAUGGGGAUGCGUCUGAUUAGCUUGUUGGCGGGGUAACGGCCCACCAAGGCGACGAUCAGUAGGGGUUCUGAGAGGAAGGUCCCCCACAUUGGAACUGAGACACGGUCCAAACUCCUACGGGGGGCAGCAGUGAGGAAUAUUGGUCAAUGGGCGAGAGCCUGAACCAGCCAAGUAGCGUGCAGGAUGACGGCCCUAUGGGUUGUAAACUGCUUUUAUAAGGGAAUAAAGUGAGUCUCGUGAGACUUUUUGCAUGUACCUUAUGAAUAAGGACCGGCUAAUUCUGUGCCAGCAGCCGCGGUAAUACGGAAGGUCCGGGCGUUAUCCGGAUUUAUUGGGUUUAAAGGGAGCGUAGGCCGGAGAUUAAGCGUGUUGUGAAAUGUAGACGCUCAACGUCUGCACUGCAGCGCGAACUGGUUUCCUUGAGUACGCACAAAGUGGGCGGAAUUCGUGGUGUAGCGGUGAAAUGCUUAGAUAUCACGAAGAACUCCGAUUGCGAAGGCAGCUCACUGGAGCGCAACUGACGCUGAAGCUCGAAAGUGCGGGUAUCGAACAGGAUUAGAUACCCUGGUAGUCCGCACGGUAAACGAUGGAUGCCCGCUGUUGGUCUGAAUAGGUCAGCGGCCAAGCGAAAGCAUUAAGCAUCCCACCUGGGGAGUACGCCGGCAACGGUGAAACUCAAAGGACAUUGACGGAAGGGCGAA